RNAcentral lists this ribosomal RNA (253 nucleotides) under uncultured bacterium. RNAcentral describes it as "partial 16S ribosomal RNA". It matches the Rfam family "Bacterial small subunit ribosomal RNA", at positions 524 to 776 of the family's 1533-position model. The record is from RNAcentral.
UACGUAGGGACCGAGCGUUGUCCGGAUUCAUUGGGCGUAAAGAGCUCGUAGGCGGCCACUCAAGUCGAAUGUGAAACCUCGAGGCUUAACCUCGAGCCUGCAUUCGAUACUGGGCGGCUAGAGUCUGGUAGGGGGAUCUGGAAUUCCUGGUGUAGCGGUGAAAUGCGCAGAUAUCGGGAGGAACACCAGUAGCGAAGGCGGCACUCUGGGCCGUGACUGACGCUGAGGAGCGAAAGCGUGGGUAGCAAACAGG